GUUAGUUGGUGAGGUAACGGCUCACCAAAACGAUGAUGUCUAGGGGUUCUGAGAGGAUUAUCCCCCACACUGGUACUGAGACACGGACCAGACUCCUACGGGAGGCAGCAGUGAGGAAUAUUGGUCAAUGGACGCAAGUCUGAACCAGCCAUGCCGCGUGCAGGAUGACGGCCCUAUGGGUUGUAAACUGCUUUUCCACGGGAAGAACCCUCCGACGUGUCGGAGACUGACGGUACCGUGGGAAUAAGCAUCGGCUAACUCCGUGCCAGCAGCCGCGGUAAUACGGAGGAUGCAAGCGUUAUCCGGAUUUAUUGGGUUUAAAGGGUGCGUAGGUGGGCUUAUAAGUCAGCGGUGAAAUCCCCCGGCUCAACCAGGGAAUUGCCGUUGAUACUGUUAGCCUUGAGUACAGUUGAAGUGGGCGGAAUGUAGCAUGUAGCGGUGAAAUGCAUAGAUAUGCUACAGAACACCAAUAGCGAAGGCAGCUCACUAAGUUGUAACUGACACUAAUGCACGAAAGCGUGGGGAUCAAACAGGACUAGAUACCCUGGUAGUCCACGCUGUAAACGAUGAUCACUCGUUGUUGGCGAUAUACAGUCAGCGACUGAA
Molecule: ribosomal RNA, 606 nt
Filed under: uncultured bacterium
Lineage: Bacteria
Description: bacterial SSU rRNA
Rfam family: Bacterial small subunit ribosomal RNA
Source: RNAcentral